This 501-nucleotide ribosomal RNA is filed under the name uncultured bacterium. RNAcentral's name for it is "partial 16S ribosomal RNA". It matches the Rfam family "Bacterial small subunit ribosomal RNA", at positions 30 to 523 of the family's 1533-position model. The record is from RNAcentral.
AUUGAACGCUGGCGGCAGGCUUAACACAUGCAAGUCGAGCGGAGAUGAGGUGCUUGCACCUUAUCUUAGCGGCGGACGGGUGAGUAAUGCUUAGGAAUCUGCCAUUUAGUGGGGGACAACAUUCCGAAAGGAAUGCUAAUACCGCAUACGUCCUACGGGAGAAAGCAGGGGAUCUUCGGACCUUGCGCUAAAUGAUGAGCCUAAGUCGGAUUAGCUAGUUGGUGGGGUAAAGGCCUACCAAGGCGACGAUCUGUAGCGGGUCUGAGAGGAUGAUCCGCCACACUGGGACUGGGACACGGCCCAGACUCCUACGGGAGGCAGCAGUGGGGAAUAUUGGACAAUGGGCGGAAGCCUGAUCCAGCCAUGCCGCGUGUGUGAAGAAGGCCUUUUGGUUGUAAAGCACUUUAAGCGAGGAGGAGGCUACUAGUACUAAUACUACUGGAUAGUGGACGUUACUCGCAGAAUAAGCACCGGCUAACUCUGUGCCAGCAGCCGCCGCAG